GCGCUAUCGGAUGAGCCUAGGUCGGAUUAGCUAGUUGGUGAGGUAAUGGCUCACCAAGGCGACGAUCCGUAGCUGGUCUGAGAGGAUGAUCAGCCACACUGGGACUGAGACACGGCCCAG
Molecule: ribosomal RNA, 120 nt
Filed under: uncultured bacterium
Lineage: Bacteria
Description: partial 16S ribosomal RNA
Rfam family: Bacterial small subunit ribosomal RNA
Source: RNAcentral